This 452-nucleotide ribosomal RNA is filed under the name uncultured bacterium. Its description in RNAcentral is "bacterial SSU rRNA". It matches the Rfam family "Bacterial small subunit ribosomal RNA", at positions 340 to 786 of the family's 1533-position model. The record is from RNAcentral.
UACGGAAGGCAGCAGUGGGGAAUAUUGCACAAUGGGCGCAAGCCUGAUGCAGCCAUGCCGCGUGUAUGAAGAAGGCCUUCGGGUUGUAAAGUACUUUCAGUCGUGAGGAAGGUGUUAAGGUUAAUAACCUUAGCAAUUGACGUUAGCGACAGAAGAAGCACCGGCUAACUCCGUGCCAGCAGCCGCGGUAAUACGGAGGGUGCGAGCGUUAAUCGGAAUUACUGGGCGUAAAGGGCACGCAGGCGGUUAAUUAAGUUGGAUGUGAAAUCCCCGGGCUUAACCUGGGAAUGGCAUUCAAGACUGGUUAGCUAGAGUCUUGUAGAGGGGGUAGAAUUCCAUGUGUAGCGGUGAAAUGCGUAGAGAUGUGGAGGAAUACCGGUGGCGAAGGCGGCCCCUGGGACAAAGACUGACGCUCAUGUGCGAAAGCUGGGGAGCAAACAGGAUUAGAUACC